Molecule: ribosomal RNA, 484 nt
Filed under: uncultured bacterium
Lineage: Bacteria
Description: partial 16S ribosomal RNA
Rfam family: Bacterial small subunit ribosomal RNA
Source: RNAcentral
AUUGAACGCUGGCGGCAGGCCUAACACAUGCAAGUCGAGCGGAUGAAGGAAGUUUGCGCCUGGCUUCUGCGGCGGGCGGGUGAGUAAUGCCUAGGAAUCUGCCUGAUAGUGGGGGAUAACGUCCGUAAAGGAGCGCUAAUACCGCAUACGUUCAGAGUGAGAACGUGGGGGAUCUUCGGACCUCGCGCUAUCAGCUGAGCCUAGGAGGGAUUAGCUAGUUGGUGGGGUAAAGGCCUACCAAGGCGACGAUCCGUAACUGGUCUGAGAGGAUGAUCAGACACACUGGAACUGAGACACGGUCCAGACUCCUACGGGAGGCAGCAGUGGGGAAUAUUGGACAAUGGGCGAAAGCCUGAUCCAGCCAUGCCGCGUGUGUGAUGAAGGUCUUCGGAUUGUAAAGCACUUUAAGUUGGGAGGAAGGGCAGUAAGUUAAUACCUUGCUGUCUUGACGGUACCAACAGAAUAAGCACCGGCUAACUUCGUG